Molecule: ribosomal RNA, 903 nt
Filed under: Triticum aestivum (bread wheat)
Lineage: Eukaryota; Viridiplantae; Streptophyta; Magnoliopsida; Poales; Poaceae
Description: partial small subunit ribosomal RNA
Source: RNAcentral
AUGGCGAUGCUUCGUGAUGUUUGGAUCCCAAGUAACCAAUGCUAUUUCACAGGGCUACUUUGGCCAUCUUUUGAGGCAGAAAAUUUUGAGCUAAAGCCUGGUAUUAUUGCUUUGGUUCAACAACAUCAGUUUGGAGCAUUGCCUACUGAAGACCCUUAUGAGCACUUGCUCCGAGUCAUGGAGUAUUCAGAUACAGUAAAGUACCAUGGAGUUCCUCAAGAUAUUAUCAAGUGCAUGUUGUUCACAUUCUCUCUCCGAUAUGAUGCUCGUGCUUGGUAUCGAUCCUUGCCAUCAAGAUCAUACAGUUGGAAUGAGAUAUCACAAGGAUUCUUGGAUAAAUAUUUCCCACUACAAAAGCAGUCCGCGAUUCGAGAUGAGAUCUUCAACUUCGUCCAGCGUGAAGGCGAUAGUUUGUAUGAUGCUUGGGAGAGGUACAAAGCCUUAUUUAGGAGAUGUACUAAUCAUGGGCUCGAGAGGUGGUUAGAGCUGCAUAUAUUCUACGAUGGAUUGACUUUGGACACUCGAGCUUACGUCGAUAUGGCAGUGGGUGGAGCUAUUACAAACAAGACACUUAUUGAUGCUUUUCUGCUGAUUGAGAGCAUAGCCUUUCACCAACUUCAGUGGUACAAUGAGAAGCCCACCUCUAAUUCAUUGGCUUGCUUGCAACAAAUCACUUCACCUCAGCAAAAAUGUCUUACGCAAAAGCCGGAACCAGCUUCUCUGUGUGACAAGAUUGAGCUUGCAUGGACUAUCUUUGAUGAUGAUGACACUAUCCUAGUUGACGCACACCCUUCAAAUCAUAUGGAUACUAGUGUUGGAGAUUCAGUUUUGCAUUGUGAUGAUUCUUCCAUGGAUGAGCCAGAGCUGCAGUUAGUUGCUUUUGAUAUUGAGGAGUCACCUUAA